RNAcentral lists this ribosomal RNA (386 nucleotides) under uncultured bacterium. Its description in RNAcentral is "bacterial SSU rRNA". It matches the Rfam family "Bacterial small subunit ribosomal RNA", at positions 30 to 417 of the family's 1533-position model. The record is from RNAcentral.
AUUGAACGCUGGCGGCAUGCUUUACACAUGCAAGUCGAACGGUAACGCGGGGGUAACUCUGGCGACGAGUGGCGAACGGGUGAGUAAUACAUCGGAACGUACCCAGUUGUGGGGGAUAGCUCGGCGAAAGCCGGAUUAAUACCGCAUACGACCUACGGGUGAAAGCGGGGGAUCGCAAGACCUCGCGCUAUUGGAGCGGCCGAUGGCAGAUUAGCUUGUUGGUGAGGUAAGAGCUACCAAGGCGACGAUCUGUAGCUGGUCUGAGAGGACGACCAGCCACACUGGGACUGAGACACGGCCCAGACUCCUACGGGAGGCAGCAGUGGGGAAUUUUGGACAAUGGGCGCAAGCCUGAUCCAGCAAUGCCGCGUGUGUGAUGAAGGCCU